GCUAAUUUAUUAUAGCACUUCCACAAGUUUCAUAGACAGCUCUCGUCUUAAAACUCUUCAAGCUUGGAAAGAAAAAAUCAGAUAUAUCCCCUCCGUAUAAUAUUCUAUUUUUCGGCACUGACGCGUAUGCAUCCGCUUGUUUAAAAUACCUAAUAAAUGAUUUAAAAGGAAAGAAAAGGAUUGUUAGCAAUAUUGACGUCGUUUGCCUUACUGAUAAUCCUCAUUUAAAAAAAAAUACUGAAGGCAGACAGCCCGUAAAAGAACUUGCACUAGAAGAAAAUCUUAAAGUUUUUGAAGUACCCAAAGAUGGUUUUAAGCAGUGCAUGUCUAAUUCAUCUGAUUACGGCGAUUCUCACUUUAAGGAUUCUUACACUCAAACCUAUACUGAUAAAAAUUCCAACCAUACAAUUAAACAAGAAGAAAAUUUAAUAAAUUUUAGUUUAAGGAAUCAAUCAGACGAAUGCGUAAAAAAAAAUAAGAAUUGUUAUAAUAUUAUUGAUUUAUACAGCAAAUUUCGGGAUUCUUUAAAUUCUUCAUCUUACCACUAUUCUUAUGAUCUUAUUAUUGUUGUUUCUUUUGGUCAUUACAUUCCCGCUGGUAUUAUUGAUUCCGCUCGGUUAGCGUUAAACGUACAUCCUUCGGUCUUACCUCAAUAUCGAGGAUCUUCCCCCAUCUAUUAUUCUAUAUUAAACGGAGACAAGCGUACUGGAGUUAGUGUAGUGGAGUUAUCUAAAGGGAAGAUGGACACCGGAAAAAUUUUGUUGCAGGAAAAAGUUUUAAUUGCGGGUACUGAAAAUUAUCAACAACUGCACGACAAACUCGCUACACUUGGAAGUUUAGUUCUUGGCCGCGUGCUUCGCAACGUUAAGGAUCACGUACUGAACGCAGAAGAGCAAACAGACGAUAAUAACAUUGUCUACGCUAGAAAGAUUACUAAAUCGGAUGCUAAAGUUAAUUGGAUUAUUGAUUCUUGUGCCAUCAUCGACAGAAAGUACAGAGCUUUGACGCACAAAAUCCGCCUUCAUACUGAAUUUAAUGGGGAAAAUAUAAAAUUAGUAGAGAUGGGCGCUCCUUUGCAACACGUUAAUACUUAAUAAUAGAGCUCUAAAGUUGUUCCUGGCCAAGUUGUUUACUAUCAUAAAAUGAUUUGUGUGCGCUGUAAGGAUGGAUGGGUUCCUUUCAAGUACAUCAUCAUUCCGGAUGGCCGCCCGCCGAUGAGCUCAAGACAGUUCUAUUUGGCUUACUUGAAGCGCAAUCCGUCUGCUGUGGUUUUCAAGUAAUUCAUUUUCUUUUAUCAUAAAUAAUUUGAUGAAUG
This is an RNA transcript of Zophobas morio, 1315 nucleotides long. It is a transcript of the gene named methionyl-tRNA formyltransferase-like, with no coding region annotated. The transcript has 11 exons. Lineage: Eukaryota; Metazoa; Arthropoda; Insecta; Coleoptera; Tenebrionidae. The record is from RefSeq and is a predicted model, not a curated record.